GGAAAGAACUACAUUUCCCAGCAUUCCCUUGGACACUACCAACUGGAAAGGAGGGGCGGACCCUCAUGCUGCAGUGUGCUGUGAGUGGAGAGCUGCACUGUGAAGGAAGUGCCAGAUUGACAGCUCUUGGAGUUGGAAAUCCGGUAUCUGCCAGUGAUUAGAGCCUUCUUAGGACAGGCCGAAAGGUGGUGUGGAAACAUUAAAGGUCAAAUCUGAAAGGACGCGUAUAUCCUUAACUUCCAGGAGGGAAACCAGUUUGAAAGAUGAAAAUCAACUUGCAUUGACCUUAGCUAAAAAUGGCACAGGGAAGCGAAGCAAUCAGAGUGCUGCUAGUGAGCAGCUCUGUGAAGUUCACCAAGCAGGUGGCUACAUGGAGACUCCUGACUGCACUAAUGAAGUUAGCCAAAAUAAGCUCUAUCCAGAGUGCUUCUUUCAUUCCCACCUCUAACAUCUGUCAAGUGAAAUUCAUCUGUACCACAAAUCAGGGAAACCAAUGCCAGUG
This is a long non-coding RNA of Mauremys mutica (yellowpond turtle), 502 nucleotides long. RefSeq lists it as uncharacterized. Lineage: Eukaryota; Metazoa; Chordata; Testudines; Geoemydidae. The record is from RefSeq and is a predicted model, not a curated record. The transcript is spliced from 4 exons.